Small nuclear RNA from Peromyscus maniculatus bairdii (prairie deer mouse), 107 nucleotides. The record is from Ensembl. NCBI's taxonomy places the organism in Eukaryota, Metazoa, Chordata, Mammalia, Rodentia, Cricetidae.
GUGCUGGCUUUGACAGCACCUAUACUGUAAUGGGAACACUACAGAGAAGAUUAUCAGGAGCCAUGUGCAAGGAUGACAUGCAAAUUUGUACAGCAUUUUACUUAAAA